GUGGUGGAGAUGGUGGUGGAGGAGAUGGAGGAGGAGGCGGAGGUGAAUAUACUGGUGGUGGAGGAGAAGGCGGUGGUGGAGAAGGUGGUGGAGGAGGUGAGUAUACUGGUGGGGGUGGCGGUGGGGGGGAAGGUGGAGGCGGAGGAGGUGAAUAUACCGGCGGUGGUGGAGGAGGUGAAUAUACUGGCGGUGGUGGUGGAGGAGGUGAAUAUACUGGUGGCGGAGGUGAAGGUGGAGGUGGAGGCGGCGAGUACACAGGGGGUGGGGGAGGUGGAGAGUAAACAGGUGGAGGCAAGUAAACAGGAGGAGAAGGCACUGGCAUUGGUGGUGAAGGUGGAGGAGGAGCAGGCAAAGUAGGAACAAAAGGCUUACAUCUAAAAGAGCUACAAUCAACAGGCUUAAACGGCCUGCAUUGGGCUGCAGAUCUCUGUGACGGCCUACCUGCCAAGCAAUUCUUCG
RNAcentral lists this long non-coding RNA (459 nucleotides) under Ricinus communis (castor bean). Its description in RNAcentral is "long non-coding RNA (RCOM_LNC000546)". The record is from RNAcentral. Lineage: Eukaryota; Viridiplantae; Streptophyta; Magnoliopsida; Malpighiales; Euphorbiaceae.